Molecule: ribosomal RNA, 376 nt
Filed under: uncultured bacterium
Lineage: Bacteria
Description: bacterial SSU rRNA
Rfam family: Bacterial small subunit ribosomal RNA
Source: RNAcentral
GACGAACGCUGGCGGCGUGCUUAACACAUGCAAGUCGAGCGGUAAGGCCCUUUCGGGGGUACGACGAGCGGCGAACGGGUGAGUAACACGUGGGUGACCUGCCCUCAGCUCUGGGAUAAGCCUGGGAAACCGGGUACUAAUACUGGAUAUGACUCCAUGACGCAUGUUGUGGGGUGGAAAGCCUUGUGCGGCUGAGGAUGGGCCCGCGGCCUAUCAGCUUGUUGGUGGGGUGAAGCUUACCAAGGCGACGACGGGUAGCCGGCCUGAGAGGGCGACCGGCCACACUGGGACUGAGACACGGCCCAGACUCCUACGGGAGGCAGCAGUGGGGAAUCUUGCGCAAUGGGCGAAAGCCUGACGCAGCGACGCCGCGUGA